RNAcentral lists this transfer RNA (72 nucleotides) under Marmota marmota marmota (Alpine marmot). It matches the Rfam family "tRNA". Rfam says of the family: Transfer RNA (tRNA) molecules are approximately 80 nucleotides in length. Their secondary structure includes four short double-helical elements and three loops (D, anti-codon, and T loops). The record is from Rfam by way of RNAcentral. RNAcentral also lists the same sequence under 1 other name. Lineage: Eukaryota; Metazoa; Chordata; Mammalia; Rodentia; Sciuridae.
GGGGUUGUGACUCAGUGGUAGAGUGCUUGCCUAGCAUGUGUGAGGCACUGGGUUCAAUUCUCAGCAUCAGCA